RNAcentral lists this long non-coding RNA (2146 nucleotides) under Cimex lectularius (bed bug). RNAcentral describes it as "uncharacterized LOC106673037". Lineage: Eukaryota; Metazoa; Arthropoda; Insecta; Hemiptera; Cimicidae. The record is from RNAcentral.
AUGCAAGUGAAAAAAUAAUAUAUUAAUUUUUUUUUGUUUUUUUUUUUUGAAGAUCGGUUUUUUUUAUAUGUCUAUGUUUAGAUUUUUGUAUGUAGAGCAUUUCUCUUACCAAACUUCCCAAAUUGCAUUCUUUGUCUAUGAUUUGAAUUUUGAUAAAAAUCCAUUCAGGGCACUGCAGUGCAGGGUGACCUGCUAAGCUACCAGUUCUGGGUUCAAAUCCUGGCAUGGCCCUUGGAAUUUUAUUUGAGAUUAAUUUGAAAAAAGUAUUGUAAAGUGGUUCAGUCACCUCUUCAUCCACAACAACCAACAAGUAGUUGGAGAUUAAGCUUCUCCUUUCUUAUGCAAUGUAUUCACAUACAAAUUUAUUUGAGUUGUUUUAAACAUACGCUGUUUUUAAUAUACACUACCCUUCCUACUUGGCAGAUUAUUGACAAUCACUGAUUAGAAAAAUUUUUAAUAUAUUAUAUAUCCCAGCUUAUACUUGUACAUUAUUACUAUUUUAUAAUUACAAUGUUUUUAAUAUAAAUAUUCUUUUAUAUAAAUUAAUGUUAGAAUAACUCAUUUCAAACCCAUUUUUUUCUUAUGUGUAUAUUAAAAUGCAUUCAGUCAUUAAUUAAUUCUUUUGGAAUAGAAUGCAUUAUUUAUUCAUAACAUACAAACCUGAAGAAAACUGUUAGUGUAUUAAAUUAUGUAUAAAUUUAUUUUAAGUUUAAAAGACUAAAAUAAUUCAAAGUUUAAGACUAUAAGAUGUGAACUUUUUUUACUCUUUUGUUGGAAUAUUUUUGCCUUUUUCCCUGAUUAAUAGCCUAUCUGGGCAAAAUAAUUUUCCUUCCAUUUUCAACAUUGUUUGAUUUUAAUGUUAUAUAUAAAUUUUGUGGUUCUUUUUGAAUUUUAUUUAAUUUUUAUCACAUUAUUGUAUCACUACAUGUUCUGUACACAGUAAAAGGACAUUAGCCCAUGAAUAAAAUAAUAAAUACAUUAAAAAAGUAACUAGUAGAAUGCAUUCCUUAAAUGUGAGACAAAACAAAUUAUUCAAAUUAAAUAUUUAAGUGAUAUUGAAAUUAGCUACAAUAAAUUUUAACAAACUAAAGUGAAUUGGUGAUAGUGUAGUACUGAUAACUAACAAAAUAACACACAGAUCAACCACUGAAGAGGUUUAAUGCUGAAAUGCUUCUGACUGAUAUUUAUUUUAUUUCCAGGGAGAAUAGACAAAGAAUGUAUUUAUUCAUUAUGAAGGGAGACUAAAGUAUUAGAAUGGGAAUGAUCCAAAAUGUAAAAGCUAUAAAAAUAUAUUUACUGAUAUUUUUUAAAUAAAUGUCUAGUUCUGAAGGUGGGUUUGAACAUUUUGGCAGUUUAUAUUUAUCACUUGGUCAGAAUUCAAAAUGUUAAUGUAUAUCAAAGACUUGUUAUAAAUCUCCUCCUAUCUGUCUGAUAGAAUCCUGAGAGUUAAGGUUUCAAUUCUAUCUCGUCUUCUCUUUCUCAAUUUCAUCUGAUAUACCACAAGACUCUUUUCUUGGAUCUUUACUAUUUUCCAUGUUCAUAAAGAUCUUCUGUUAGUUCUUAAUUUCAUCUAUAUGCUGAUGAUACUUUAUAUUCAAUGUCUUACAAGCAACAUCUAUUUGCUCAACCGUUAUCUUCAUUCUUUCAAUCAAUGGUCAAAUAAUCACGAUAUUCUUUUAAACUCUAACAAAUUCCAGUCAUUACUAAUUAAAAGAAAAUAAACAAAUAAAACGAUUGCCUAACUCUUCUCAUAUCAAUAGCUCCCCUAUUAUUUUUUGUCCUAAAAUUAAAAAUCUCAGCAGUAUUUUUAACUCCAAGCUUACAUAGCAAUUAUUAAAAAAGUUGACUCAACCUCCAUUCCCUUGUGGAGCUUACAGAGAUUAGCUUCUUCUCACUACAGAAAACUAGAGUUUUCCUUAUUAUAUUUAUAAUAAUGCCUUUAUUCUCUUAUUGAGGCGCCAUGACUCUCAAUCUGCUCAUCGCCUUCAAAUUGCUUAUUAUUCCUGCAUUAGAUUGUUAUGAUCUUAAAUCAAGAGGUCAUAUUUUUUCCCAUAUUAAUGCCUUCAACAGUCUUAACAUUCUAAGCACUUAUAAACUUCUAAUAUACAUAUGUAAAAUUAAAUCAAAUAAAUGCCCUCAAUAUUUA